CUUUUCCUUUUCAGCCAAUCAACUCGUUAGAAAUUUGUGUGUAUCUCUAUUUUCCCUAUGUAUUAUCGAGAAGUUGCUUUCUUUUUAAGUGAAAUUUUGUUGAAAGGUAUUGUGGCGGUCUCUCAUUCGCAUUGCAGAUGGCUAGCAGCUACUUUCCCAUUUACCAAGAGGAGAGAACGCACUACUUUCAAAGACUGGACCUGCAAAACUGGUCUCGGGGUGCUCGGGCCUGCAAUAUUUCAGGUCUGCAAAACUCCUGGGGAUCACCGUAAGGUACAGGUAGGAUGAACAGUUGGCGACUACUUGGCAAUAAGGGCUUAAAUUCUUUUGCAUGUUCCUGAAAGGUGUAAGAUGCUAGUAAAAAUUGCAGUGCAUAGGUCGAAGUGAGAACAAUAGCUACAGUUAUUGUCGCAGGGCCAUCCACUCUAUCACUUUGCAAGCCUUCUUCCGCUUGCUAUUGCCCGUAUUCUGUAGUGCCCCAUUCUCAGUCAACCCGAAAGUGGGCACCUCCUCUUUCACUCUUCAGAGAUCCCAAACAUUCAAAGAACCAUUUUACAGAAGUGGGCAUUCUUCAUUUAUAUGCUUGCAUUCUAAAUUCUAUUUGGGUCAGCCCUUGCUGCUCAAAGCAGCUUACACAGAGUUUCAAAACCCCAAUGGAGUUUGCAGCAGCCGAGGAGGGUGAAAGACUACAAUGGAUUCAAUUUGAUCUUGAUGGAUCUCUGCUCUGGUCAAGGAGCUGACUGUUCACCUAAGCAAGCACUUGUUGCGAGAAAAGUUCAAAUUUUAUCGACAGCACUCGGGUUCCUGUUCCAGUGUUGAGUUUGUCUCCAGUUGCCAAAACUUGCAGUGUUGCUGUGAAUUCAUUAUAUAAUAUGUAGUGAAAUCCAGUUAUAAAGUAGAGCAUAUGUAGAGAAUGAUAUUUUGUUGUAGAAAAUGACCGUACCAAGCAGAUGCAACAAAAUUCAUUGAAGCGGCUUAGUAUUGUAAUGAAUAGCCUCCAUAACUUUCCAUAGAAAUAUAUAAUGUUGUGUGCAGUUGCAUCAUUUCAUGAUCAUAUCCACUACAACUUAAACUAGCCUAAGUGAAUCUUGAAUUUGUAUUUUAUUGUUUUUCA
Cryptomeria japonica (Japanese cedar) is the source of this 1114-nucleotide RNA transcript. RefSeq lists it as uncharacterized. The transcript is spliced from 3 exons. The record is from RefSeq and is a predicted model, not a curated record. Lineage: Eukaryota; Viridiplantae; Streptophyta; Pinopsida; Cupressales; Cupressaceae.